RNAcentral lists this long non-coding RNA (236 nucleotides) under Panax ginseng (ginseng). Its description in RNAcentral is "long non-coding RNA (PGIN_LNC017157)". The record is from RNAcentral. Lineage: Eukaryota; Viridiplantae; Streptophyta; Magnoliopsida; Apiales; Araliaceae.
UCGAAAUUGACGUACGUACCUGGUAUAUCGAAAAGGUGAGGGUACCUCGCUUUCAUCUCCGAUUCCAACUCCCAUGUCAUUUCCUCAAUUGCAUGGUUUCUCCACAAAACCUUAACUUGUGGUAUAACCUUCGUGCGUAAGACAUGCUCUUUCCUAUCCAAAAUCUCAACAGGUAUCUCCUCGUAUGUUAAAUCUUCAGCUAUCUCGUCUGGUUCUAAUGCAAUAAUGUGGUUCGG